UAGAGUUUGAUCCUAGCUCAGGAUGAACGCUGGCGGCGUGGAUAAGGCAUGCAAGUCGAACGGCCGCAUCACAUGGAAUGUGAUGGGAAAUUCCAAAUUACAAAUCCCAAAUCACAAACAAAUCACAAAUUCAAAUCUCAAACGACUUUCUGAAGUCGUUCCCGCGCAGGCGGAAAUCCAGUUUAAUCUGGUUCCCCGUUUACAUGGGGAUGACAUUAAGAAAUGUCAUUUCGGGCUUUUGAUAUUAUGUAUUGUUUGGGAUUUGGUGCUUUGGUUUUGGGAUUUCCGCAUCGCAUUUCGCGCGAUGCGGCAGUGGCAGACGAGGUAGUAAUAAGCAGGUAACGUACCCUAGAGUCAGGCAUAGCUCAUCGAAAGGUGGGGUAAUUCCUGAUAGCCCCGCCUAACUUUCAGUACUGCAAUUUUUCGUCGGGCAGUCUCUCGCGCAACGGGAGAUAACUAAAACGAGAUUUUGAGUUUUGAAAGUUGGGCGGGUAAAGUCGCAAGACGCUCUGGAAGCGGCCUGUUCGGUAUCAGCUAGUUGGCAGGGUAAAAGCCUACCAAGGCUAUGACGCCUAGGGGACCUGAGAGGGUGACCCCCACCGAUGGAACUGAGAUAAACGCUCGCUAGAUAUGAUUUUUUUGUGCAGAAUGCUUCAGCAAUCGGAAAUUAUAGUCGCUUCGUUUACGAAAAAUUGAAAACUCGCCGCGAUUACGCGGCUCAAACAGUUCAAUUUUUCUACGAAGCUUCUUAAUUUCCAAAUUGCUUCUCGCAAUGCUCAAAAAAAUCAUAUCUAGCUCGCUACGGUUGAUAAAAAACCAAGUGAAAAAGAGCAACUGUUUCCUUGCGGAGUAAUCCGCAAGUAAAAUCCAACUCAUAACGGUGGAAUCUGCCGAAAGGCAGACAAUACCGUGGGAAGUUCCACUUUACUUAAGUAAAGUGGAACCCCGUAACGACUCUUUGUAAGGAAACGAAGGAGUUAUCGCAACGCAAUUAAGAGCUAAAGCGGUAGCUAACAUGUUGGCCCCGAAAUAACUCUCUACAAGAUUAUUUCGGGUGAAGGUAUAGUCUGAUACUCUGAGUGAUCGGAGAAAACACUAUGACGGUCCAUACACCUACGGGUGGCUGCAGCCGAGAAUAUUCGACAAUGGGCGAAAGCCUGAUCGAGCGACGCCGCGUGCGGGAUGAAGUCCUUCGGGAUGUAAACCGCUUUUGUAGACUAGAAAGUUUAUUGAUCAGUCUAAGAAUAAGAGGUUACUAAACUCGUGCCAGCAGUAGCGGUAAUACGAGUGCCUCAAGCGUUAUCCGGAAUUAUUGGGCGUAAAGGGUGUGUAGGCGGUCUUGUUAGUCUUCUGUCAAAUUCUUCGGCUUAACCGGGGGCUCGCAGAAGAAACGGCAAGACUUGAGGGUGCGAGAGGUUUGCGGAACUCAUGGUGUAGGGGUGAAAUCCGUUGAUAUCAUGGGGAACACCGAAAGCGAAGGCAGCAAACUGGCGCAUUCCUGACGCUGAAACACGAAAGCGUGGGUAGCGAAUGGGAUUGACGCUCGCAGUACAUGCUUUUUUAAGCAGAAUGCUUCGGCAAAAGAAAAUCAUAGUCGGUUCACAACGAGAAAUGAAAAACUCGCAGACUCAAACAGUUUCAUUUCUCUGUUCACCUCCUCGAUUUUCAUUUUGCCUCCCGCAAUGCUUAAAAAAGCAUGUACUGCUCGCUUUAUGUUGGAAAGAAAAACAACAGAAAGCGGAACGUAGGGGUACGUUGAGCACUAGUCCCCCCGUGAAGCGGAAGCGUUUUACGGGGAUAACCUAGCUAUAUGCUGGAAAACCCGAGUAUCUGGGAGUACUUCGUGAGUACGAAGUGAAAAUCUCUCCAGUGCGGGCAAUCAGCAGGAAAGGAUUAAUGAAAUAUGUCCUAGAGUAUGAAGCCUCUUGCCCGGGGCUCGGAAAGAGUCGGGGCAAAACUAUGUUUACAGCAGAGAAUGAUGGUGCAGCUGAAAGAGAGGUUGCAGAUGUUCUCUUCGGUUUAUAUAGUUCAAGCCAAUGGAGACAUAUGGGCAGUAGUUCAUCGGACUGGAAACCUUUGUUGUUAUCCAGAGUCAGUCCUUUGAAAGAUUUUGCUUAAAACGGGCAUCCAGAUUAAUCUUCCUCAGAGACUAUACGCUGGGCUCAACUUUCUGAAUCAAGGAUAUCGGCAGUCCGAUGUCCCUUUUUCAGAGAGUUGGUGAAGAUAUAGUCCGAACUCUAUGGCGACAUAGAGAGGCAAGCAGAAAUGACUUGCCCGACCCCAUUAGAAAGGCGAAGUGCCUUCUAACGGGGCAAGCUUGCACACUUUGUGAUGAGUCCGCCGCUGACAUCGUAGGUCUACUUGAUUAACGGAAGUCUUGAGACGGACAUCCUGCUAGACUCAGUCUUUUCCGUGUCGGCUUGUGGCCUUGACUCAUCAUAGAGUAACCGAUUUUCCGUAUCGGUUGCUCUCAUCACAAAGUGUGCAAGAGUGGCAAUUUUGAAUUUCCAUUUGCAAAUUUCUUUUUUGAACAUUUGAAUUUGUUUGGAAUUUGGAAUUUGUGAUUUGGAAUUUUCAAAAUUGUUACAAAGUAACAAUUUUGUAGAUACCCCAGUAGUCCACGCCCUAAACGAUGUUCAUUGGCUUUUCAGAGUAUCGACCCUCCGAGAGGCGAAGCUAACGCGAUAAAUGAACCGCCUGGGUAGUACGGCCGCAAGGCUAAAACUCAAAGGAAUAGACGGGGACUUGCACAAGCGGUGGAUUGUGUGGUUCAAUUCGAUGGUAAGCGAAGAACCUUACCAGGGUUAGAAAUCUAGUCGAAGGCAAGCAGAAACGUUUGUCGUCUCACAAGGACGGCUGGACAGGUGCUGCAUGGUC
RNAcentral lists this ribosomal RNA (2877 nucleotides) under Parcubacteria group bacterium GW2011_GWF2_50_9. RNAcentral describes it as "bacterial SSU rRNA". The stretch from base 1 to 1661 matches the Rfam family "Bacterial small subunit ribosomal RNA". The record is from RNAcentral.